GGUCCGCUGGCUCAAUGGCAGAGCGUCUGACUACGACUUCUCUGAAGUAAUCAGAGGACAUCGAGUAAUCAGGAGGUUCCAGGUUCGACCCCUGGGUGGAUCG
Molecule: non-coding RNA, 103 nt
Organism: Corynascus novoguineensis
Lineage: Eukaryota; Fungi; Ascomycota; Sordariomycetes; Sordariales; Chaetomiaceae
Source: the annotation of a GenBank genome assembly